This 78-nucleotide transfer RNA is filed under the name Acinetobacter baumannii. RNAcentral describes it as "tRNA-Gln". It matches the Rfam family "tRNA". From Rfam's summary of the family: Transfer RNA (tRNA) molecules are approximately 80 nucleotides in length. Their secondary structure includes four short double-helical elements and three loops (D, anti-codon, and T loops). Lineage: Bacteria; Pseudomonadati; Pseudomonadota; Gammaproteobacteria; Moraxellales; Moraxellaceae. The record is from RNAcentral.
AGGGGCGUCGCCAAGUGGUAAGGCAGCAGCGGGUUUUGAUCCCGCCAUCCGUUGGUUCGAAUCCAGCCGCCCCUGCCA